RNAcentral lists this ribosomal RNA (492 nucleotides) under uncultured bacterium. RNAcentral's name for it is "partial 16S ribosomal RNA". It matches the Rfam family "Bacterial small subunit ribosomal RNA", at positions 29 to 507 of the family's 1533-position model. The record is from RNAcentral.
AGUGAACGCUGGCGGUAGGCCUAACACAUGCAAGUCGAACGGCAGCACAGUAAGAGCUUGCUCUUACGGGUGGCGAGUGGCGGACGGGUGAGGAAUACAUCGGAAUCUACUUUUUCGUGGGGGAUAACGUAGGGAAACUUACGCUAAUACCGCAUACGACCUACGGGUGAAAGCAGGGGAUCUUCGGACCUUGCGCGAUUGAAUGAGCCGAUGUCGGAUUAGCUAGUUGGCGGGGUAAAGGCCCACCAAGGCGACGAUCCGUAGCUGGUCUGAGAGGAUGAUCAGCCACACUGGAACUGAGACACGGUCCAGACUCCUAAGGGAGGCCGCAGUGGGGAAUAUUGGACAAUGGGGGCAAGCCUGAUCCAGCCAUACCGCGUGGGUGAAGAAGGCCUUCGGGUUGUAAAGCCCUUUUGUUGGGAAAGAAAAGCAGCAGGUUAAUACCCCGCUGUUCUGACGGUACCCAAAGAAUAAGCACCGGCUAACUUCGUG